UGGGGAAUUUUGGACAAUGGGCGCAAGCCUGACACAGCCAUGCCGCGUGCGGGAAGAAGGCCUUCGGGUUGUAAACCGCUUUUGUUAUGGGAGAAAAGGCUCUGGUUAAUACCUGGGACUCAUGACGGUACCUGAAGAAUAAGCACCGGCUAACUACGUGCCAGCAGCCGCGGUAAUACGAAGUGUGCAAGCGUUAAUCGGAAGUACUGGGCGUAAAGCGUGCGCAGGCGGUUAUGCAAGACAGAGGUGAAAUCCCCGGGCUCAACAUGGGAACUGCCUUUGUGACUGCAUAGCUAGAGUACGGUAGAGGGGGAUGGAAUUCCGCGUGUAGCAGUGAAAUGCGUGGAUAUGCGGAGGAACACCUAUAGAGAAGGCAAUCCCCUGGACCUGUACGGACGCUCAUGCACGAAAGCGUGGGGAGCAAACAGG
Molecule: ribosomal RNA, 429 nt
Filed under: Bacillota bacterium
Lineage: Bacteria; Bacillati; Bacillota
Description: Firmicutes bacterium partial 16S ribosomal RNA
Rfam family: Bacterial small subunit ribosomal RNA
Source: RNAcentral